UGCCAGCCGCCGCGGUAAUACGGAGGGUGCAAGCGUUGUUCGGAAUUAUUGGGCGUAAAGCGCGUGUAGGCGGUUCGUUAAGUCUGAUGUGAAAGCCCGGGGCUCAACCCCGGAAGUGCCCUUGAUACUGGUAGUCUUGAGGUCGAGAGAGGUGAGUGGAAUUCCGAGUGUAGAGGUGAAAUUCGUAGAUAUUCGGAGGAACACCAGUGGCGAAGGCGGCUCACUGGCUCGAUACUGACGCUGAGGUGCGAAAGCGUGGGGAGCAAACAGGAUUAGAUA
RNAcentral lists this ribosomal RNA (279 nucleotides) under uncultured bacterium. Its description in RNAcentral is "partial 16S ribosomal RNA". It matches the Rfam family "Bacterial small subunit ribosomal RNA", at positions 506 to 784 of the family's 1533-position model. The record is from RNAcentral.